RNAcentral lists this ribosomal RNA (467 nucleotides) under uncultured bacterium. RNAcentral describes it as "bacterial SSU rRNA". It matches the Rfam family "Bacterial small subunit ribosomal RNA", at positions 355 to 825 of the family's 1533-position model. The record is from RNAcentral.
UAAGGAAUAUUGGUCAAUGGACGCAAGUCUGAACCAGCCAUGCCGCGUGAAGGAUUAAGGUCCUCUGGAUUGUAAACUUCUUUUAUCUGGGACGAAAAAAGGCUAUUCUUAGUCACUUGACGGUACCAGAUGAAUAAGCACCGGCUAACUCCGUGCCAGCAGCCGCGGUAAUACGGAGGGUGCAAGCGUUAUCCGGAUUCACUGGGUUUAAAGGGUGCGUAGGCGGGCAGGUAAGUCAGUGGUGAAAUCCUGGAGCUUAACUCCAGAACUGCCAUUGAUACUAUCUGUCUUGAAUAUUGUGGAGGUAAGCGGAAUAUGUCAUGUAGCGGUGAAAUGCUUAGAUAUGACAUAGAACACCUAUUGCGAAGGCAGCUUACUACGCAUAUAUUGACGCUGAGGCACGAAAGCGUGGGGAUCAAACAGGAUUAGAUACCCCCGUAGUCCCUGAGCGGGCUGGCAAGGCGCAU